Long non-coding RNA from Lynx canadensis (Canada lynx), 1226 nucleotides. RefSeq lists it as uncharacterized. Lineage: Eukaryota; Metazoa; Chordata; Mammalia; Carnivora; Felidae. The record is from RefSeq and is a predicted model, not a curated record. The transcript is spliced from 2 exons.
UCACACUCUGUCUCUGUCUCUCAAAAAUGAAUAAAUGUUAAAAAAAAAAAAAUUUAAACAAGCUCUAUGCCCAAUGUGCGGCUCAAAUCACGACCUCAAGAUUGGGGGUCACAUGCUCUACCAACUGAGCCAGCCAGGUGCCCCUGAAGGAAUAUUUACAGCAAACUUCGCAGACCUGAAGGAAAAGGGUUUUCCGAUUGAAAGGUCUACCAGCUGCUCAGCAUAAUGGAUAACAAGGGCCCGGCACCAUUGGGGAAUUUCAGAACACCGGAGACAAAGAGAAGAUCCUACGAGCUCCCUCUGGAAGACUGCGAACUUCCUAACAGUCGCUCUGGAAACUACCUGACAGCGGAACCAGUCAGAAGGAAAAAUGUUUCCAGCCUGGAAUUCGACUGGGAGACCAUCAAUCGAGUGGGCAGGCAGAAUAAAGACACUUUCAGGCCGGCAUCUGUGACUUUAAAACAGCAGCAACAAAUCUCCGCACAGAAGUGGAGACCCCGUAACCUCCGGCUCCUGAUUUGCUUUCACGGUUGGUCCACACAUGACCCUCUCUGGUCUCUCUUGAAAACUGUGUAUGGAUGUAACCAACACCCCGUCCCUCCCAGCCGAUGACUCCCACUGAUCUGCGCUUCCCCGCGCUCCCCUUCCCGCUCAGGGUCCCCUCCUCCCCCAACGCUAGGUAUCCACUCUCCCGAAAACUUUUCCAUGUAUAUCCAGUUUUUUUUUUUUUUCGCAUCCAUAUGUACAACUGAAAAUACACUGGUCAUUUUUAGCUGUGUCUAACUUUACCAAAAGGGUAUCAAGCUGUAAUGACUUUUCCUUUCCCACGCAAUGUCAUAUGCCUUAGAUGUAUCCACAUUGAACACGUCUGUUAUUUUUUGUUUUGGUACUACUUUGUACGAACACACAAUUUAUCUAUCCAUUCUGCUAGUGAGCAUCUGAAUUGCGCCUCGGUGUUUGCUGUUAUGAGCAAGGUGACGAUGGUCUUUCUCCACGUCUCCUGGUGCGCGCGCACAAUGGUUUCUCUCGUGUGCACCCCUGGGAGUGGAGAUCAUAGCAUAUGUGAAUGUCAGACCUUACAACGUGCCAUCAAACUGAUUUCCAACAUGUAAGUGACUGUCCACCUCCUACUGGGUGAGCAUACGUGGCUUCUUACUGGGGUCUUGAUGGGAAUUUACUAAUCACCACUGAUAAUAAAGUAACAUUAGUAAUGACUAAUGACAUUA